RNAcentral lists this long non-coding RNA (1877 nucleotides) under Salmo salar (Atlantic salmon). Its description in RNAcentral is "lncRNA (ENSSSAG00000086798.1)". The record is from RNAcentral. Lineage: Eukaryota; Metazoa; Chordata; Actinopteri; Salmoniformes; Salmonidae.
CCUGAUUCUACAGUCAGAUUCUAGAACACUACAAACCACAGGGGGCUGCUGAGGGGAGGACGGAAUGGUCAUCACCUGAUUCUACAGUCAGAUUCUAGAACACUACAAACCACAGGGGGCUGCUGAGGGGAGGACGGAAUGGUCAUCACCUGAUUCUACAGUCAGAUUCUAGAACACUGCAAACCACAGGGAGGGGAGGACGGCACAUAAAAAUGGCCAGAAUUAAGUGAAUGGUAUGGUAUAAAACACGUGUUUGAUGUAUUUGAUACCAUUCCACUCAUUCUGCUCCAGCCAUUACCACGAGCCUGUCCUCCCUAAUUAAGGUGCCACCAACCUCCUGUGCUACAGACACUGCCGGCCUUUGUUAUACCUUUUCUAUACUUGAGACUGAGGAGACGUUUCAUAUUGGCUGGUUCCCAAAUGACACCCCAUUUCCUAUAUAUCGCACUGCUUUGACCUGGACCCUGGUCACAAGUAGUGCACUAUAAAGGGAAUAGGUUGUUGAUGAUUCAUUGUGAAUUCAGCGAUCUGACCUUUUGAACCCACUUAAAUGUUGUCCCUCUCAGGGUCAGUCUCUCAGCACAUUUGAAACCACAAAGCGGAGCGCCACAGCAUUUAAUAUGGAAAUAGUCAUGAAACACCAUUAGUAGUAAAUCCAGUUCUGGCACUUGUUAUACUGUGAAUGUACAUGUCCUUUACAUGUACUGCUGAUGCAUUGAGUAGAGAGAGUGUAUUAUUAAAGCUACAGCACUGUUGUGGUUUUAUUAUGUCUCCCAAGUGGCACAGCGGUCUAAGGCACUGCAUCUCAGCGCUAGAGGCUUCACUGCAGACCCUGGUUCGAUUCCAGACUGUAUCACAACCGGCUGUGAUUGGGAGUCCCAUAGGGCGGUGCACAAUUGGCCCGUCAUUGUAAAUAAGAAUUUGUUCUUAACUGACUUGCCUAGUUAAAUAAAGGUUAAAUAAAUAUGUCUAAUGCUAUUUAUGAGGAAUAAAUCCUUAACUAUCCCCUUACCAAAAUAUCAAGCCAUUACGUGUGGCCCAAAUGUCAUUAUGAAUUGUGUCAUUAUGAACUGUGACAUUAUGAACUGUGACAUUAUGAAUUGUGUCAUUAUGAACUGUGACAUUAUGAAGUGUGACAUUAUGAACUGUGUCAUUAUGAAUUGUGACAUUAUGAACUGUGACAUUAUGAACUGUGACAUUAUGACCUGUGUCAUUAUGAACUGUGACAUUAUGAAAUGUGUCAUUAUGAAUUGUGUCAUUAUGAAUUGUGUCAUUAUGAACUGUGUCAUUAUGAAUUGUGUCAUUAUGAACUGUGACAUUAUGAACUGUGUCAUUAUGACCUGUGUGAGCCACUGGCAUUUGUUUUCUGUGAGUGUUCAGCCCUUCUGUCCAUAGGCUUUGAUUAAAGAGCAUGUGGGCUAAAUAUCAACCACAGUUUCAGUGAUUUGUGAUUUGCUCACAGUAGGCCCAUAGGGUUAACUCAGUAGGCCCAUAGGGUUAACUCAGUAGGCCCAUAGGGUUAACUCAGUAGGCCCAUAGGGUUAACUCAGUAGGCCCAUAGGGUUAACACAGUAGGCCCAUAGGGUUAACUCAGUAGGCCCAUAGGGUUAACUCAGUAGGCCCAUAGGGUUAACACAGUAGGCCCAUAAGGUUAACACAAAGAUGAAACAUAGUCUCCCUGACCCACUUCAACAAUACAGAUGUAGACCAUGCUUGCUGAUAAAUUAUCAAAAAUAUUGUUCAAGUACCUAAUGCUUGACCGUGCCUUGAGCUCACCUCUGACCUGGUAUGAUAUUUGUUGUCAUAAUGUUCUGCAUAUGGGAAAUGACAUUGACCAAAAAUACUUACAGCUGCAUAAAUCUCUCAUUGAACCAGAC